AAAGAGCUAAGUAUUCCAGUAAGACAUGACAAGCAGGUCUAGUACAUCUAAUAUAGGACUGGAGAGAACCAUUAUCUGAUCUACUCUACACAGGACUGGAGAGAACUGCUAUCUGAUCUACUCUACACAGGACUGGAGAGAACUGCUAUCUGAUCUACUCUACACAGGACUGGAGAGAACUGCUAUCUGAUCUACUCUACACAGGACUGGAGAGAACUGCUAUCUGAUCUACUCUAC
Oncorhynchus keta (chum salmon) is the source of this 237-nucleotide long non-coding RNA. RefSeq lists it as uncharacterized. The transcript has 3 exons. Lineage: Eukaryota; Metazoa; Chordata; Actinopteri; Salmoniformes; Salmonidae. The record is from RefSeq and is a predicted model, not a curated record.